Oncorhynchus gorbuscha (pink salmon) is the source of this 1844-nucleotide long non-coding RNA. RefSeq lists it as uncharacterized. The transcript is spliced from 2 exons. The record is from RefSeq and is a predicted model, not a curated record. NCBI's taxonomy places the organism in Eukaryota, Metazoa, Chordata, Actinopteri, Salmoniformes, Salmonidae.
CCCACGCAUUGUGAGUAUUUAUUAAAAUUGUACUGAAUGAUUAGUCUCGAAAACCGGAGCGUUUGAAAAUUGUGGGAGGCAACGCGGAUGUCUAGACACUACUGAAUGAUCUUUCCAUUUUGAUGUGUGGUUAAAUGUUUCCUUUCUAGAUUGCCAAAGAAGUUUAAUGGCGUCAGAGCCUUGGCGUGAAGUCAGCUGAGAGAGCUGCUGCCAUAAGGGAGAUUUAUAAACCCCUCCAUGACCAUGUCUACCAUCUACAGGUAGGAAGGAAGCCUACAAUACUUUAGUCUCCAUACACACUAAGAUUGUAAAGUGUAAUAUUUGACUUACACUCUUUAUGAAUCCUGUUGGGCUCCAGAGUUUAAGCAGAUGAUGGAUUAUUGUUGAAGUGAUGAGACCAGUAGAGGUUACGUUUUCCAUAAAGAGUUCCUAUUUGAAAUAGGUGGUCCAUGUCAUUAUUUUAAAUCUUUUGAAGCCCCAAGGAUCUUGCGCUUGCCUGUGUUUAAAAAAAAAUGUACCGCUUCUGUGAUGAGCUGGAACACUUUGAACAGUCUACAGACCCAACAGAAUGAACUACAGGGUAUGCUUCCUCUUUCAUAUAAAAUACAUCUGUAGGCUAUUAGAUAUGGAGACCUCAGGCAAAAUAUUCAAUGUAUCAAGUGUUACCUGUGGUAACUCAUGGUCCUUUUGUUUGCGAUGUUCUUUCGUCCACACAGAUCCUCCUGAACGAGCUAGGAUUUGACAAUGGCUUUUACCACCCUUCUCCGUGUGCAGUAUCUGUAGCCUCUCACAUCUCUGCUCUACCCUAACUGUUGUGGACGCUGCCUAGACAGCCACAAGGCCUUCAUGGUGAAAUGACAUUCAUGAAGACCUGGACCUCGUCUACCAUUACGACAAUGCAGAGGUCACUCAAUGUGUCUCUGGGGAAAAAGUUUGCUGAAGGGAACCUCUACUUUGGUGACAUGAAACAGGUGCUUCUGAGUGAGAGUGUCUACAGAGGUAGAGCAGGGAAUGACAGAGGGUCUCCUAUACAGAGGACAACACAUGCACGGUGCCCUGCCCAUCUCCUCUGGCCAGUGCUGGAACCUCAUUGUCUGGAUGAGGGCCUCACAGGAGAGGAAAAAACUGUGCCCCAUGUGCAAAAAGAAGCCUACCUUGGUCGAGGGACAGAGCUUCACAGAUGGUUUCACCAGUGACUCAGGGAUGUCUCUUCUACAGGAUGUAUCAUGCGUUCCGCGUUAACUUAAUGCUGCUGGUCCAUAUGUAUUUGUGUAUGAUUUGUUUCUGGAUGUCUGCUUAUCGUGGACAUUAUCGCAUGUGCCAAAAAAAGAGUUAUAGAGAGGAAACGUGGUAGACAUUAGGAACAUUAUUUCUACAUAACACUGCACUACAUACUUCAUUACGCAGUGUCACAUUUAUUCCAAUCUAUUCUAAAUUAUCAUGUCCAUAAAAAAUGUGUAGCCUGUGAUUUGAAUGGUCUUUUGUCCCGGUAGGGAUAUUACAUAUCCAAAAGUCAAGAGACACUAGUGAAGAAAACCUGAGCGUUCACCUUUGUACCUUACUUUUAGUGGGCUUGCUUCUUGUUCACAGAAAUUGGGAAAUAUUUUAAAUGCUGUAAACUUUAUACAUAAUGUAAGUAAUAUAAAUACAUUCAUAGCUGUAGUUAUCUUAGUACGUCAGUAAUAUAUUUUUAGAAAACAAUAAUGCACAGGCAUUUCUCUGUAUUGGUAAAAUCAAUAAUAUUGAAAGGAUCAACAACACAUUUACACACCAAAUAUCUGAAGAAUACAGUUCGUACAUAGUAUAAAUCAUAUUUAAUUUAAUAAACCAUAAUUGAUAAUCAA